GUGAAUCAUCAAAUUUUUGAACGCAAAUUGCACUCUCUGGUAUUCCGGAGAGUAUGCCUGGUUGAGGGACAGUGUAAAUAAAAAUCGGUGUGGUUGCUGCCUUUCGUGGUGACGCACCGGAUUUGGGUUGGCUUGGCUUCGGUUAAGUGACCUAAAAUUUUGCAUGAUUUUUUCGAACGUAUUUAAAUGACUUUACGUACGUUUGCGAUAUCGAUUACUAGGAGUGGUCAUCUUCAUGAGUCGU
RNAcentral lists this unclassified non-coding RNA (244 nucleotides) under Glomus sp. Its description in RNAcentral is "partial contains 5.8S ribosomal RNA and internal transcribed spacer 2". The stretch from base 1 to 71 matches the Rfam family "5.8S ribosomal RNA", at positions 84 to 154 of the family's 154-position model. Lineage: Eukaryota; Fungi; Glomeromycota; Glomeromycetes; Glomerales; Glomeraceae. The record is from RNAcentral.